Molecule: unclassified non-coding RNA, 337 nt
Filed under: soil metagenome
Description: partial contains 5.8S ribosomal RNA, internal transcribed spacer 2, and large subunit ribosomal RNA
Rfam family: 5.8S ribosomal RNA (bases 1-120)
Source: RNAcentral
GAUGAAGAACGUAGCGAAAUGCGAUAAGUAAUGUGAAUUGCAGAAUUCAGUGAAUCAUCGAAUCUUUGAACGCACAUUGCGCCCGCCAGUAUUCUGGCGGGCAUGCCUGUUCGAGCGUCAUUUCAACCAUCAAGCCCCCCGGCUUGUGUUGGGGACCUGCGGCUGCCGCAGGCCCUUAAAAGCAGUGGCGGGCUCGCUGUCACACCGAGCGUAGUAGAUCUCAUCUCGCUCAGGGCGUGCUGCGGGUUCCGGCCGUUAAACCACCUUCAUAACCCAAGGUUGACCUCGGAUCAGGUAGGAAGACCCGCUGAACUUAAGCAUAUCAAUAAGCGGAGGA